UCAAUUGGCGCCUAAGCGCCAAUGGAGCACGCCUAGGCGCUCCAAGCUCGCUGGAAAGCCUUUUUAUCUUCCUCUUAACUCCUCUUCAAGCCUCUUUAAGCCUUCCUUCAAUUCCAAGCUUCUUGACCUUCCUUCCCCUUCAGUUUCAAACCUGAUUACUUAAACACAAAGCCAAGGAAAUAUCUAGGAGCUCCAAGAGUCUAUUAGCAAAGAGAACCCUCAAAUAAAAUAGGAAAAUUAUGCAAGUCCUAAACUUACUUAAAAUGCAAGAAAAGUCCCUAUAAGACUAUGAAAUUACCAAAACAAAG
This 308-nucleotide long non-coding RNA is filed under the name Lotus japonicus. RNAcentral describes it as "long non-coding RNA (LJAP_LNC000407)". Lineage: Eukaryota; Viridiplantae; Streptophyta; Magnoliopsida; Fabales; Fabaceae. The record is from RNAcentral.